Molecule: long non-coding RNA, 686 nt
Organism: Cyprinus carpio carpio
Lineage: Eukaryota; Metazoa; Chordata; Actinopteri; Cypriniformes; Cyprinidae
Source: Ensembl
GACGGAGCACUGAUAACCAACACACAGUGCUGAGGCUUGCAAAGAGCUGCUCUGCUGAAAGCUAGUAAAAAUCCUCAAAAGACAUCGAACCUGGAAGGGAGACAUGUAACGCACGCCACUGAUGAAUAAUGCGAUUACAGCGGCACACAAAACAUCCCUCCCAGAAAAAAAAAAACAACAAAAAACGAUCUUAUCGAGCAGUUUGUGCACAUAGUUGUGCAGAGAAGAAUGGCCCAUUUACUAGAACAUAUACUGGGCAGAGGUUAUCUCCUCAGUAUACCGAACCAACCCCUAUACAAAUUCCAUAUCAUUACAGCACAAAAGAAACCAUCCAUGCAAGGUGGGAACAUUUGAUGACGACAAGGUUCUUUAAUGGUCUCACUUGAGUAAGGUAAUAAUUUACUUUUCCUGCCAGAGAGAAAUGUAAUUCAGCAGGUGACCUGCUAGCUAAAGGGGUUUUAUUGAUCCUUUGGAAUUUACAGUGCAUUAAUAAUGUUAAGACUUUCAGUAUGCAUCACAUGCCCAAAGCCUCUGAAAACAAAUGGCCUUGAUGAUGCUUUUUAAACAUCACAUUAUGUUGUGCGAAGGGGCUUGUUAACCUAACGUUAACAAAACCCUUUGAUUGUGUGAUUAAAUGUGCAUUUUCAUGGGUCAUAAAGAAACUCUUACCUGACCCUGAAUCUUCA